Molecule: unclassified non-coding RNA, 313 nt
Filed under: fungal sp.
Lineage: Eukaryota; Fungi
Description: partial internal transcribed spacer region
Rfam family: Eukaryotic small subunit ribosomal RNA (bases 1-46)
Source: RNAcentral
AAGUCGUAACAAGGUUUCCGUAGGUGAACCUGCGGAAGGAUCAUCAUCAAUUUCAUCUCCCAACCCCUCCUAGUAGAGGGGUUGGGAUCCAUGAUAAACCCUUCUGUGCACCGUAACCGUUCACUUUGGCAGGCUUUGGUGGUGAGCGUGAGAGCUCGUCGCCAACCUCGCUGAUUCCCUCCCACCGAGGGUUCCUGCGUGGCGGCCUGCCGGAGUCUUGCAAUUAAAAACGCGUUUUCGAACUCGACUGAAAAUUUCCUUUGAGAAAUCAAAGAACCUAAAACAACUUUCAACAACGGAUCUCUUGGCUCUC